This is a long non-coding RNA of Sinocyclocheilus rhinocerous, 329 nucleotides long. RefSeq lists it as uncharacterized. Lineage: Eukaryota; Metazoa; Chordata; Actinopteri; Cypriniformes; Cyprinidae. The transcript is spliced from 4 exons. The record is from RefSeq and is a predicted model, not a curated record.
CUUCAAUACAUCCCUGUUUACCAAAUAGUGUAAACACUUUAAUCCAAGCCCAGCUGUAUCUGGUUGACAUCUGAAGUAUUAGCAAAACUGUCAAAGGACCUCCUGGUUCAGAGAAUAAAAUAAAAAAAAGAGGAAGAGAAAACGGCAAGAUAAAGGAGCUCUGUUGAAAUAUUUUGGAGGUGGGGCACAACCAAUGCCGCCAGCCCCAAAUGCUAGUGCUACAGCUGAUGAUACAGCAGGUCCAUCCUCUGCAGGUGAGGAGCACUUACCAGCACCUGCAUCCACUGAUCCUGCUGUUCCUUCCAUGUCGGUUUCAACCUCAACAGAUG